RNAcentral lists this ribosomal RNA (253 nucleotides) under uncultured bacterium. Its description in RNAcentral is "partial 16S ribosomal RNA". It matches the Rfam family "Bacterial small subunit ribosomal RNA", at positions 524 to 776 of the family's 1533-position model. The record is from RNAcentral.
UACAGAGGGUGCGAGCGUUAAUCGGAAUCACUGGGCGUAAAGCGCACGUAGGCGGAUUGUUAAGUCGGGGGUGAAAUCCUGAGGCUCAACCUCAGAACUGCCUCCGAUACUGGCAAUCUCGAGUUCGGAAGAGGUUGGUGGAACAGCUAGUGUAGAGGUGAAAUUCGUAGAUAUUAGCUAGAACACCAGUGGCGAAGGCGGCCAACUGGUCCGACACUGACGCUGAGGUGCGAAAGCGUGGGGAGCAAACAGG